AUUGUUUUCAUUUUAUAAAUACUAUAUUACUGAUAAAUCUGGUCACAAGCAAUUUAUUUUCGCCGAGUCAUCAUAUGUGCAUCUAUAUUGAACAAGUCAAUUGAUCGAGCAACAGCAAAAUGAUAUGCUUAAGAUACGUCGUGCUUCUGCUGGCUUUUUUACAUUGCUCGCACACCUUCCCUCACGUAAUAAUACAAGAUUUCGAAAAACCAGGCAAAGCAUUAACGGCUUGCUACUGUCCAAAUGGUAGUAAAGGAGUUGAACGCUUUUAUCACUGCUUUCCUCAUGAGACGUUUUGUGGUUAUGUGUACAAACUACAUGAUGGUGUUUGCUGCAUCUGAGAACGAUUGUGUGAUAAGAAAUUAGCAUAUUAAAACUAAAAAAAUAGAUAUGUUAUUUGCUCUUGUUAUUUGAUGGUUUAUUCAUAUAAUAUUAAAUUAUUUGAAAUGUAAA
This is a long non-coding RNA of Xenia sp. Carnegie-2017, 453 nucleotides long. RefSeq lists it as uncharacterized. NCBI's taxonomy places the organism in Eukaryota, Metazoa, Cnidaria, Anthozoa, Malacalcyonacea, Xeniidae. The transcript is spliced from 3 exons. The record is from RefSeq and is a predicted model, not a curated record.